GCACCAUGCAGUCGAGCGGAUGAGUGGAGCUUGCUCCAUGAUUCAGCGGCGGACGGGUGAGUAAUGCCUAGGAAUCUGCCUGGUAGUGGGGGACAACGUUUCGAAAGGAACGCUAAUACCGCAUACGUCCUACGGGAGAAAGUGGGGGAUCUUCGGACCUCACGCUAUCAGAUGAGCCUAGGUCGGAUUAGCUAGUUGGUGAGGUAAAGGCUCACCAAGGCGACGAUCCGUAACUGGUCUGAGAGGAUGAUCAGUCACACUGGAACUGAGACACGGUCCAGACUCCUACGGGAGGCAGCAGUGGGGAAUAUUGGACAAUGGGCGAAAGCCUGAUCCAGCCAUGCCGCGUGUGUGAAGAAGGUCUUCUGAUUGUAAAGCACUUUAAGUUGGGAGGAAGGGCAGUAAGUUAAUACCUUGCUGUUUUGACGUUACCAACAGAAUAAGCACCGGCUAACUUCUUGCCAGCAGCCGCGGUAAUACGAAAGGNGCAAGCGUUAAUCGGAAUUACUGG
Molecule: ribosomal RNA, 511 nt
Filed under: Pseudomonas sp. CS1
Lineage: Bacteria; Pseudomonadati; Pseudomonadota; Gammaproteobacteria; Pseudomonadales; Pseudomonadaceae
Description: bacterial SSU rRNA
Rfam family: Bacterial small subunit ribosomal RNA
Source: RNAcentral